CAACCUCAACGCUGUCACCAUUCACCUUGGCGCUAAGCAAUUUGGUAGAUGUCUUAAAUUUGAUACCUUGCUUAGAAAUGAUACGAGAUAAAGCCUUGGAAAUGUCUGCAUCCAUAGGACCUCCAACAGCUGGCAAAAACUCAACGACGGUAACCUCUGCACCAAGUCUUGACCAUACACUGCCCAUCUCCAAUCCAAUGAUACCACCACCAAGAACGGUCAUCUUUUUUGGGACCUCUGAUAAAGAUAAGGCACCUGUAGAAGAAACAAUUUUCUUCUCAUCAAUUGUUACACCUGGGAAUGGCUUAACUUCACUUCCAGUGGCAAUGAUGAAGUUUUUGGCUUUAAUAGUUUGAUCUGCAGCACCAUCAAUUCCCUUAACAGAGAGAGUUUGAGGAUCGAUGAAAGAGCCUGUACCCUUAGCAUAUUCUACCUUAUUUUUUUUGAAAAGAUAUUCAAUACCGGACGUUAAUGACUUAACAGAAUCGUCCUUGGCUUUCAUCAUUUGAGAAAGAUUGACGCUAACACCG
This is a non-coding RNA of Schizosaccharomyces pombe (fission yeast), 530 nucleotides long. The record is from the annotation of a GenBank genome assembly. NCBI's taxonomy places the organism in Eukaryota, Fungi, Ascomycota, Schizosaccharomycetes, Schizosaccharomycetales, Schizosaccharomycetaceae.